AAACUCCUACGGGAGGCAGCAGUAGGGAAUUUUCGUCAAUGGGGGGAACCCUGAACGAGCAAUGCCGCGUGAGUGAGGAAGGUCUUCGGAUCGUAAAGCUCUGUUGUAAGAGAAAAACGGCACUCAUAGGGAAUGAUGAGUGAGUGAUGGUAUCUUACCAGAAAGUCACGGCUAACUACGUGCCAGCAGCCGCGGUAAUACGUAGGUGGCGAGCGUUAUCCGGAAUGAUUGGGCGUAAAGGGUGCGUAGGUGGCAGAUCAAGUCUGGAGUAAAAGGUAUGGGCUCAACCCGUACUGGCUCUGGAAACUGAUCAGCUAGAGAACAGAAGAGGACGGCGGAACUCCAUGUGUAGCGGUAAAAUGCGUAGAUAUAUGGAAGAACACCGGUGGCGAAGGCGGCCGUCUGGUCUGGAUUCUGACACUGAAGCACGAAAGCGUGGGGAGCAAAUAGGAUUAGAUACCCUAGUAGUCCACGCCGUAAACGAUGAGAACUAGGUGUUGGGGGAAUAACUCAGUGCCGCAGUUAACGCAGUAAGUUCUCCGCCUGGGGAGUAUGCACGCAAGUGUGAAACUCAAAGGAAUUGACGGGGGCCCGCACAAGCGGUGGAGUAUGUGGUUUAAUUCGAAGCAACGCGAAGAACCUUACCAGGCCUUGACAUCCCUUGCAGAGGUAUAGAGAUAUAUCCGAGGUUAUCAAGGAGACAGGUGGUGCAUGGUUGUCGUCAGCUCGUGUCGUGAGAUGUUGGGUUAAGUCCCGCAACGAGCGCAACCCUUGUGAUAUGUUACUAACAUUGAGUUGAGGACUCAUAUCAGACUGCCGGUGAUAAACCGGAGGAAGGUGGGGAUGACGUCAAAUCAUCAUGCCCCUUAUGGCCUGGGCUACACACGUACUACAAUGGCGUCUACAAAGAGCGGCAAGCCUGUGAAGGCAAGCGAAUCUCAUAAAGGACGUCUCAGUUCGGAUUGAAGUCUGCAACCCGACUUCAUGAAGCUGGAAUCGCUAGUAAUCGCGAAUCAGCAUGUCGCGGUGAAUACGUUCUCGGGCCUUGUACACACCGCCCGUCAAACCAUGGGAGUUGGUAAUGCCCGAAGCCGGUGGCAUAACCCUUCGGGGAGUGAGCCGUCGAAGGCAGGACCGAUGACUGGGGUUAAGUCGUAACAAGGUAUCCCUACGGGAACGUGGGGAUG
Molecule: ribosomal RNA, 1187 nt
Filed under: human gut metagenome
Description: bacterial SSU rRNA
Rfam family: Bacterial small subunit ribosomal RNA
Source: RNAcentral